Molecule: ribosomal RNA, 700 nt
Filed under: uncultured bacterium
Lineage: Bacteria
Description: bacterial SSU rRNA
Rfam family: Bacterial small subunit ribosomal RNA
Source: RNAcentral
AGAGUUUGAUCAUGGCUCAGAUUGAACGCUGGCGGCAUGCCUUACACAUGCAAGUCGAACGGUAACGCGGGGCAACCUGGCGACGAGUGGCGAACGGGUGAGUAAUGCAUCGGAACGUGCCCAGUUGUGGGGGAUAACUGCUCGAAAGAGCAGCUAAUACCGCAUACGACCUGAGGGUGAAAGCGGGGGAUCGCAAGACCUCGCGCAAUUGGAGCGGCCGAUGUCAGAUUAGGUAGUUGGUGGGGUAAAGGCCCACCAAGCCAACGAUCUGUAGCUGGUCUGAGAGGACGACCAGCCACACUGGGACUGAGACACGGCCCAGACUCCUACGGGAGGCAGCAGUGGGGAAUUUUGGACAAUGGACGCAAGUCUGAUCCAGCCAUGCCGCGUGCGGGAAGAAGGCCUUCGGGUUGUAAACCGCUUUUGUCAGGGAAGAAACGCUCUGGGUUAAUACCUCGGGGUAAUGACGGUACCUGAAGAAUAAGCACCGGCUAACUACGUGCCAGCAGCCGCGGUAAUACGUAGGGUGCAAGCGUUAAUCGGAAUUACUGGGCGUAAAGCGUGCGCAGGCGGUUAUGCAAGACAGAGGUGAAAUCCCCGGGCUCAACCUGGGAACUGCCUUUGUGACUGCAUAGCUAGAGUACGGCAGAGGGGGAUGGAAUUCCGCGUGUAGCAGUGAAAUGCGUAGAUAUGCGGAGGA